This 30-nucleotide non-coding RNA is filed under the name Mus musculus (house mouse). The record is from RNAcentral. Lineage: Eukaryota; Metazoa; Chordata; Mammalia; Rodentia; Muridae.
UCCUGCUUGCUGCGUCAAGGUUUCAAGUUC